This 1130-nucleotide ribosomal RNA is filed under the name Campylobacter coli. Its description in RNAcentral is "partial 23S ribosomal RNA". It matches the Rfam family "Bacterial large subunit ribosomal RNA", at positions 598 to 1599 of the family's 2925-position model. The record is from RNAcentral. Lineage: Bacteria; Pseudomonadati; Campylobacterota; Epsilonproteobacteria; Campylobacterales; Campylobacteraceae.
GGACUGCCUUUUGCAUAAUGAGCCUGCGAGUUGUGGUGUCUGGCAAGGUUAAGCAAACGCGAAGCCGUAGCGAAAGCGAGUCUGAAUAGGGCGCUUAGUCAGAUGCUGCAGACCCGAAACGAAGUGAUCUAUCCAUGAGCAAGUUGAAGCUAGUGUAAGAACUAGUGGAGGACUGAACCCAUAGGCGUUGAAAAGCCCCGGGAUGACUUGUGGAUAGGGGUGAAAGGCCAAUCAAACUUCGUGAUAGCUGGUUCUCUCCGAAAUAUAUUUAGGUAUAGCGUUGUGUCGUAAUAUAAGGGGGUAGAGCACUGAAUGGGCUAGGGCAUACACCAAUGUACCAAACCCUAUCAAACUCCGAAUACCUUAUAUGUAAUCACAGCAGUCAGGCGGCGAGUGAUAAAAUCCGUCGUCAAGAGGGAAACAACCCAGACUACCAGCUAAGGUCCCUAAAUCUUACUUAAGUGGAAAACGAUGUGAAGUUACUUAAACAACCAGGAGGUUGGCUUAGAAGCAGCCAUCCUUUAAAGAAAGCGUAAUAGCUCACUGGUCUAGUGAUUUUGCGCGGAAAAUAUAACGGGGCUAAAGUAAGUACCGAAGCUGUAGACUUGCGCACAACUUAGAUUAUUUAAGUUUAGAAUAUGAGAAACUAAGUUAUAUGUUUAGUUAUAUUUUUACUGAUUUUUAUAGAGUAAAGAUAGAAAUAAAACUUAGUAAAAUCAGUAAAAAUAUUCUUAGACUAAAGUUAAGUAGUUUAAGUUGUGUGCAAGUGGUAGGAGAGCGUUCUAUUUGCGUCGAAGGUAUACCGGUAAGGAGUGCUGGAGCGAAUAGAAGUGAGCAUGCAGGCAUGAGUAGCGAUAAUUAAUGUGAGAAUCAUUAACGCCGUAAACCCAAGGUUUCCUACGCGAUGCUCGUCAUCGUAGGGUUAGUCGGGUCCUAAGUCGAGUCCGAAAGGGGUAGACGAUGGCAAAUUGGUUAAUAUUCCAAUACCAACAUUAGUGUGCGAUGGAAGGACGCUUAGGGCUAAGGGGGCUAGCGGAUGGAAGUGCUAGUCUAAGGUCGUAGGAGGUUAUACAGGCAAAUCCGUAUAACAAUACUCCGAGAACUGAAAGGCUUUUUGAAGUCUUCGGAUG